RNAcentral lists this long non-coding RNA (1770 nucleotides) under Lupinus angustifolius (narrow-leaved blue lupine). Its description in RNAcentral is "long non-coding RNA (LANG_LNC000412)". Lineage: Eukaryota; Viridiplantae; Streptophyta; Magnoliopsida; Fabales; Fabaceae. The record is from RNAcentral.
UUAUCUUUAGCUAUUUGAUUGAUUAAACAUUAUUUAGAAAUAUCCAAACAAACAGUGUACAAAAAGGAACAAAUGAACACGUUUCAAACUCCCAUUUUAGUAGGAAGACACCUGAUUACUUGAAGGACAUGUCACUAGAAUCAAAUACUAUGGGGUACACAAUUUGCUCAAAGUUAUUAACAACAAAUCUAACAAAGGGGUAGUUACUUCAGCCUUGCAACCAUUACGAAUCAUGAACAGUGCUUAACCUACACAUUAUCUUUCUAUAGCCAUGAACAAAUUCUACAAGUUCCAUACUCAAGAAUGAUUACAAUUAAUCAACAAAAUAAUCAAUUGGAAAAUACAGAGCUUCUAGUUCCGUGAUUAUCCAAAACUCCUUCAUAUAUUACUUUCUCGAAUCAUCAACAUCAACAUCAUGGCUUCCCCCAACAUACACUGGCCAAGCAUGUUCAAGUCCAAACCUUACAAUCAGUGGCAGCAUGAAACAGGGAAACUCUUGAUAAAGCCAUCUCCGGAGUACUUUUUGCCACUGCUGAGAUUGCAGUUUUUCAAGGAUGUCUCACUUAGCUUUUAUUUAGACUAUGCAGAACACAUUGCGUCAAAUGAAAUUCUGGAAGAUGUGCCUGGCCAUAAUGCAUAUCUUAAUGGGAUAAGCGUCAUUAGUGGAAUGGCAUUGUUCCCAUCAGCUUUAGAGCAAGAGGACCAGCACUCUGAAAAACUUCUGCAAGUACAUAACUGAAAGUCCACAUAGGUUAACAUCAAGUCAGGAGAUAAAGGGUCGCGACCCAGAGCACCUAUUCUAUUUCAGUUGCACAGUUAUAAAGAACAAUCAAAUGUGAAUCAGCAUAAUUCCCAAAUAAAAGUAGGCACUCAACAGGUAAAAGACAACAUCAUUGGCAUUUUAGUUACAAUAAGCAUGAAUGGCAGCAAUGAUGAGACACCUUAAAGGAAUAACCAGUGCAAGGGAGCAUUCUAAACAGUCAACUAAGAGUCAUACAUGAUGAGGCAAUGAAAUAGAUGAGAAUCAGAAUUACCAUCUCUUCACAGGUAAAAGACAACAUCAUCCGAAUCCGAGCUACCGUGAAGGUUGAGGUCUUCAUCGAUGAGUACCAUCACCAAACACCACAAUAACCCGUAUGAACCACCGAAGAAGAGAAGAUGAGGAUUUCGUUCGAUGCAUCUCGAGAAAGAAGGGAUUCCCUUCAUUGGUCCACUCCAACACGGGUUGGAGGGUCUUUCCGGGCUAGAUUCGUGAAGAGAUGCACAAGGAGAGGGAGAUGCGUGAUCAGGGAUUCUAUUCCCAUUUUCUUUCUCUGGUUAGUGGGUUAAAGGUGGAGGGGUUCAACUUUUCUUUGUUUCAUUAUGCCAUCUAUGCAAUUUUCUUGGAAUGUAUCUCAUAAUCAUUAUAAUGACUGUAUAUUCCAACUUUAAUUAACUAGCUCUUUUAUCACUAAAUUCAACCAUCAAUUCCAUAUAAACUAUUUUAAUUAAUAAGACUAUUUUGUUACUAAACUCUAUAUGUAUAAAUAAUAAGAUAUUAUCAAUUUAAUCAUGGAAUUUUUAUAGUAAGGUUAUGGUUCGAGUUGUCUCUAACUUCUCCGAGAAUGAGAAGAAGGUCUACAACCAACACCGUCUCUAAACUAUUAAUUCUAUAUGUAUAAUUAAUAAACUGUUUUAUCACCUAGAUUCUAUGUGUGCGAAUAGUUAGAAACUAUGUUAUCAAAUUAAUCAUGGAAUUUUUAUAGUAAGGUUAUGGUUCGAGUUGUCUCU